Molecule: small nucleolar RNA, 133 nt
Organism: Abrus precatorius (Indian licorice)
Lineage: Eukaryota; Viridiplantae; Streptophyta; Magnoliopsida; Fabales; Fabaceae
Product: small nucleolar RNA snoR111
Exons: 1
Source: RefSeq, a predicted model, not a curated record
AAGAAAAUGACGAGACUGUUUGAAGUGUCUCUGCCAUUGUAUGUGAAGAUUGAGGUAUAACAAACCUAACGGGCGAGUCAUCGUUUCGGUCGUCAUUUGCGUGAUUGGCGAAUCGAUUGUUCCUCGUCUACAU